RNAcentral lists this long non-coding RNA (588 nucleotides) under Homo sapiens (human). Its description in RNAcentral is "non-protein coding lnc-KIF1C-3:1". The record is from RNAcentral. Lineage: Eukaryota; Metazoa; Chordata; Mammalia; Primates; Hominidae.
GCACCUGUAAUCCCGGCUACUUGGGAGGUUGAGGGAGGAGAAUCGCUUGAACCCAGGAGGUGGAGGUUGCAGUGAGCCGAGACUGCACCAUUGCACUCCAGCCUGGGCAAUAGAGCGAGACUCCGUCUCAAGCAAGCAAGCAAGCAAACAAACAAAAUAAAAAACGAGGUCAAGUUUCAAAAGAUGUCACCCCCAACCUGGCAAAACUUCUCCUCAAGCCCUGUCGUUCCACUCUUGUCCGCCAGGAGGAGAAAAGGUUCCCUCGAAGGACGUCUUUGCUUGCGCGUUCACGGAGCCUUGAGAACGAGUGGCCGAGGGGACCCCUGCGGCCCUGCGCGCCUAAGGGAGGACCUGACUCCUUUCAGAAUUAGCAUUUCUUCCCCUUCGUGGGUGCUCUUGAGUUCCAAAGAAAAGGAAGAGAAGCCUUCAUUGAGCAGCUUCUUCUGCCUUAGGGACUGUGCUAGGGGGUAGAUCGACCUUAGGGGAAACAAUCCCCGCUUAUUAGAGGAGGUUUUGGAUCAGGGUUUGCUUUAUUUGAAAUUUAACAAAUACAGAAAAGCAGAAGGAAGAAAAUUGAAGUAAUCCAUG